RNAcentral lists this ribosomal RNA (429 nucleotides) under uncultured bacterium. Its description in RNAcentral is "bacterial SSU rRNA". It matches the Rfam family "Bacterial small subunit ribosomal RNA", at positions 34 to 507 of the family's 1533-position model. The record is from RNAcentral.
CGCUGGCGGCAGGCUUAACACAUGCAAGUCGAACGGGCGUAGCAAUACGUCAGUGGCAGACGGGUGAGUAACACGUGGGAACCUUCCUAGGGGUACGGAACAACUCAGGGAAACUUGAGCUAAUACCGUAUACGUCCGUGAGGAGAAAGAUUUAUCGCCCUUAGACGGGCCCGCGUCGGAUUAGCUAGUUGGUGGGGUAACGGCCUACCAAGGCGACGAUCCGUAGCUGAUCUGAGAGGAUGAUCAGCCACACUGGGACUGAGACACGGCCCAGACUCCUACGGGAGGCAGCAGUGGGGAAUCUUGGACAAUGGGCGCAAGCCUGAUCCAGCCAUGCCGCGUGAGUGAAGAAGGCCUUCGGGUUGUAAAGCUCUUUUGUCAGGGACGAUAAUGACGGUACCUGAAGAAUAAGCCCCGGCAAACUUCGUG